RNAcentral lists this transfer RNA (65 nucleotides) under Dipodomys ordii (Ord's kangaroo rat). It matches the Rfam family "tRNA". From Rfam's summary of the family: Transfer RNA (tRNA) molecules are approximately 80 nucleotides in length. The record is from Rfam by way of RNAcentral. Lineage: Eukaryota; Metazoa; Chordata; Mammalia; Rodentia; Heteromyidae.
GGUGGCUCAAUAGUAGAGCGCUUGCCUUGUAUGCAUGAGGCCCUGGGUUCGAUUCCUUAGCACCA